Molecule: long non-coding RNA, 506 nt
Filed under: Musa acuminata (dwarf banana)
Lineage: Eukaryota; Viridiplantae; Streptophyta; Magnoliopsida; Zingiberales; Musaceae
Description: long non-coding RNA (MACU_LNC005481)
Source: RNAcentral
GGAAGAGCCUUCGUUUUGUCUCCUACUGUUUCUCCUUCCAUAUAGGUAUUCUCUUAAACGAACCCUUGAUCUUCUUUUGACAAACCUUGCUCUCUUACUCGGGAGCUCUUCCUCAAAUUUCAGCAAAUUAUAUUGAAUUUUCUGCAUCUCCAAUUCCAACCUUCCAAUUUUCUCAGAGACCUUUCUUGCCCGAUCAGAAAUUUGCUUGUGUCUUUUGCUCACACUAUCUUUUUUCUCAGCAUAAUUGUCAGGUGAUGCAGAAUAGUCUUCCACUUUCUUUGUCAACUUACUGUUCACAUCAAUGAGCUUUGUUAUGGUUCCCUCAGCUUCUUUCAAUUGUCCCUUGAAAGUAUUGAACUCAGAUCUGGUAGGCUGGUUGAUCUUUUCAGAAAUUUCCAUAUUACUCUGGAGUUCCUGUAUGCUUGAUUGAAGAAGCAACAACCUCUGAGCAUCAGAAAUAAGUCUUUCUACGACCCUUCUGUUCCAUUCCAAGUGGGGCUCCAACU